CUGCAGGAGAAUGUGAUUUUGAGAAGACAUGUUGAUCUUUCAUCAAAGUAUGGUCACCAAUCGUGCCUCGAGUCGAGUCAAUAAUUGUUCAUGGCAUAUUUACACACGAUAGAAUUAAGAAGAGAGACGAGUAAGUAAAUUUACUAAUUUUUUUGAAACAGGUCAUGUGUAUAUUCUAUGUACUAUAGUUCCUCAGAAUUGGAAACAAAUGAAACAUAUAAAAUUAUCGUUAAUGCAUGAAUUCGUUCAUGAAUGAAAAGUCGGUUCCUUCGACCACGACGUAGAAACAUAAACUUACAAUUUAUCUAGAACUCGGGAAUUAAGUUCAUUAAAACGAUACAAAAACAUUCAAGAUCAUCUGUCUAUGCUUUCUAUGUCUUAACAGCAACCUGCAAAAGCAUUUAUUGUACUAUUCCUCGCUCAUUCUUAUUGACAUCAUGGUACGAAAACCCAAAAGAAAACAAGAAUCAUAAGACAGAGGAACGAGUAAAUAUAGGUUAGAUAGUUUCUAACUUGUCGCUCUGCAGAAGAGGAUAGCAGCAUCAAUGUAAUCGUUCGUCUCUUAUCCCACACCUACAAAAAUCACACGUGACAAAUAAUGAACAUCGAAGUGCUCUUCACCUCAGUCGGAUAUUCUAAUCUCAACACCAAGGACGUCCUUCACUUGUUCAUACGUCACAAAAGCAAUAGCAAUUGACGGAACGACCUGAACAGAAAUUGCAAUAUUAAAUGAUACAGGUCUAUCUGCACAAGGAACAAUUGCUUCAAUAUUCAGUCAAACAUAAAACUUCUGAAUUUCCCCGUAAUUUUUCCCCUGAAAAAUGUCAGACUUAAAAUUAACUAGCUAUAAAUUUAUUAUUUGGUCUGAACCCGAAGUGUGUUUGACACAUAGUAUUCGACCUUACUCGACUGGACAAGGAACAAUAUUUUAGAUUUACUUGCAGUUUUUUUCCUUAAUAGUAUCUAAUCCGCCUUACCAUAUAGAUCAUAAAUGCUAUCCUAGAAACGGUAGAAUGGUAUUUUUAUUUAACAAUCACAAUUGCAAGUGAACCCAUUUCUUUAUUGGCUUUCAGUAGAACUUUUACCCUGCUCAGAGUUCCGAAAGACAAAAUUACAGUGUCAAGCUCUCAACUAAAAC
This 1138-nucleotide long non-coding RNA is filed under the name Olea europaea subsp. europaea. Lineage: Eukaryota; Viridiplantae; Streptophyta; Magnoliopsida; Lamiales; Oleaceae. The record is from RNAcentral.